This 425-nucleotide ribosomal RNA is filed under the name uncultured bacterium. Its description in RNAcentral is "partial 16S ribosomal RNA". It matches the Rfam family "Bacterial small subunit ribosomal RNA", at positions 354 to 796 of the family's 1533-position model. The record is from RNAcentral.
GUGGGGAAUCUUGCGCAAUGGGCGAAAGCCUGACGCAGCCAUGCCGCGUGAAUGAUGAAGGUCUUAGGAUUGUAAAAUUCUUUCACCGGGGACGAUAAUGACGGUACCCGGAGAAGAAGCUCCGGCUAACUUCGUGCCAGCAGCCGCGGUAAUACGAAGGGGGCUAGCGUUGCUCGGAAUUACUGGGCGUAAAGGGCGCGUAGGCGGACAGCUUAGUCAGAGGUGAAAGCCCAGGGCUCAACCUUGGAAUUGUCUUUGAUACUGGCUGUCUUGAGUUUGGGAGAGGUGAGUGGAACUCCGAGUGUAGAGGUGAAAUUCGUAGAUAUUCGGAAGAACACCAGUGGCGAAGGCGACUCACUGGCCCAAUACUGACGCUGAGGCGCGAAAGCGUGGGGAGCAAACAGGAUUAGAAACCCUAGUAGUCC